Molecule: ribosomal RNA, 253 nt
Filed under: uncultured bacterium
Lineage: Bacteria
Description: partial 16S ribosomal RNA
Rfam family: Bacterial small subunit ribosomal RNA
Source: RNAcentral
UACGAAGGGGGCUAGCGUUGCUCGGAAUCACUGGGCGUAAAGGGUGCGUAGGCGGGUCUUUAAGUCAGGGGUGAAAUCCUGGAGCUCAACUCCAGAACUGCCUUUGAUACUGAAGAUCUUGAGUUCGGGAGAGGUGAGUGGAACUGCGAGUGUAGAGGUGAAAUUCGUAGAUAUUCGCAAGAACACCAGUGGCGAAGGCGGCUCACUGGCCCGAUACUGACGCUGAGGCAAGAAAGCGUGGGGAGCAAACAGG